CCUACGGGAGGCAGCAGUAGGGAAUAUUGCACAAUGGGGGAAACCCUGAUGCAGCGACGCCGCGUGAGGGAAGAAGGAAUUCGGUAUGUAAAGCUCUAUCAGCAGGGAAGAAAAUGACGGUACCUGAGUAAGAAGCACCGGCUAACUACGUGCCAGCAGCCGCGGUAAUACGUAGGGGGCAAGCGUUAUCCGGAUUUACUGGGUGUAAAGGGAGCGUAGACGGCAGUGCAAGUCUGGAGUGAAAGGCGGGGGCUCAACCACCGAACUGCUCUGGAAACUGUACGGCUGGAGUGCAGGAGAGGUAAGUGGAAUUCCUAGUGUAGCGGUGAAAUGCGUAGAUAUUAGGAGGAACACCAGUGGCGAAGGCGGCUUACUGGACUGUAACUGACGUUGAGGCUCGAAAGCGUGGGGAGCAAACAGGAUUAGAUACCCUUGUAGUC
This 440-nucleotide ribosomal RNA is filed under the name uncultured bacterium. RNAcentral's name for it is "partial 16S ribosomal RNA". It matches the Rfam family "Bacterial small subunit ribosomal RNA", at positions 338 to 795 of the family's 1533-position model. The record is from RNAcentral.